Molecule: ribosomal RNA, 491 nt
Filed under: Leuconostoc mesenteroides
Lineage: Bacteria; Bacillati; Bacillota; Bacilli; Lactobacillales; Lactobacillaceae
Description: bacterial SSU rRNA
Rfam family: Bacterial small subunit ribosomal RNA
Source: RNAcentral
AACGCUGGCGGCGUGCCUAAUACAUGCAAGUCGAACGCACAGCGAAAGGUGCUUGCACCUUUCAAGUGAGUGGCGAACGGGUGAGUAACACGUGGACAACCUGCCUCAAGGCUGGGGAUAACAUUUGGAAACAGAUGCUAAUACCGAAUAAAACUUAGUGUUGCAUGACACAUGAGUUAAAAGGCGCUUUGCGCGUCACCUAGGAGAUGGAUCCGCGGUGCAUUAGUUAGUUGGUGGGGUAAAGGCCUACCAAGACAAUGAUGCAUAGCCGAGUUGAGAGACUGAUCGGCCACAUUGGGACUGAGACACGGCCCAAACUCCUACGGCAGGCUGCAGUAGGGAAUCUUCCACAAUGGGCGAAAGCCUGAUGGAGCAACGCCGCGUGUGUGAUGAAGGCUUUCGGGUCGUAAAGCACUGUUGUAUGGGAAGAACAGCUAGAAUAGGGAAUGAUUUUAGUUUGACGGUCCAUACCAGAAAGGCACGGCUAACUA